RNAcentral lists this small RNA (125 nucleotides) under Marmota monax (woodchuck). Lineage: Eukaryota; Metazoa; Chordata; Mammalia; Rodentia; Sciuridae. The record is from RNAcentral.
GCCGGGCAUGAUGGUGCUUGCCUGUAAUCCCAGUGGCUCAGGAGGCUGAGGCAGGAGGAUCAUGAGUUCAAAGCCAACCUCAGCAAAAGUGAGGCACUAAGAAACUCAGUGAGACCCUGUCUCUA